This 253-nucleotide ribosomal RNA is filed under the name uncultured bacterium. RNAcentral describes it as "partial 16S ribosomal RNA". It matches the Rfam family "Bacterial small subunit ribosomal RNA", at positions 524 to 776 of the family's 1533-position model. The record is from RNAcentral.
UACAGAGGGUGCAAGCGUUAUUCGGAGUUACUGGGCGUAAAGAGCACGUAGGCGGUUUGAUAAGUCCGAUGUGAAAUCCCUGGACUCAAUUCAGGAAGUGCAUUGGAUACUGUCAGACUAGAGUAUAGGAGAGGAGAGUGGAAUUCCUGGUGUAGAGGUGAAAUUCGUAGAUAUCAGGAGGAACAACAGAGGCGAAGGCGACUCUCUGGACUAUUACUGACGCUGAGGUGCGAAGGCGUGGGGAGCAAACAGG